GACGAACGCUGGCGGCGUGCUUAACACAUGCAAGUCGAACGGAAAGGCCCUGCUUUUGUGGGGUGCUCGAGUGGCGAACGGGUGAGUAACACGUGAGUAACCUGCCCUUGACUUUGGGAUAACUUCAGGAAAGUGGGGCUAAUACCGGACAGGAGCUCCUGCUGCAUGGUGGGGGUUGGAAAGUUUCGGCGGUUGGGGAUGGACUCGCGGCUGAUGAGCUUGUUGGUGGGGUAGUGGUUUACCAAGGCUUUGACGGGUAGCCCGCCUGAGAGGGUGACCGGCCACCUUGCGACUGCGAUACGGCCCAGACUCCUACGGGAGGCAGCAGUGGCGAAUAUUGCCCAAUGGGCGGACGCCUGAUGCAGCAACGCCGCGUGCGGGAUGACGGCCUUCGGGUUGUAAACAGCUUUAGCCUGUGACGAAGCGUGAGUGACGGUAAUGGGUAAAGAAGCACCGGCUAACUACGUG
Molecule: ribosomal RNA, 468 nt
Filed under: uncultured bacterium
Lineage: Bacteria
Description: partial 16S ribosomal RNA
Rfam family: Bacterial small subunit ribosomal RNA
Source: RNAcentral